Mus musculus (house mouse) is the source of this 729-nucleotide RNA transcript. It is a transcript of the gene named POU domain, class 5, transcription factor 1, related sequence 6, with no coding region annotated. Lineage: Eukaryota; Metazoa; Chordata; Mammalia; Rodentia; Muridae. The record is from RefSeq and is marked validated. The transcript has a single exon.
AGGUGUUCAGCCAGACAACCAUUUGUCGCUUUGAGGCCCUGCAGCAUGUGUAAGCUGCGGCCCCUUCUGAAGAAGUUGGUGGAGGAAGCCACCAACAAGGAGAGAACCCUUAGGAAAUAUGCAAAUCGGAGGCCCUGGUGCAGGCUGGGAGGAGAACUCCUCCAGCAUUGAGAACAAUGUGAGGUGGAGCUUGGAGAACGUGUUUCUGAAGUGCCCGAAGUCCUCCCUGCAGCAGAUCACUAGCAUCGCCAAGCAGCUUGGGCUGGUGAAGGAUGUGGUUCGAGUAUGGUUCUGUAACUGGCACCAGAACGGCAAAAGAUCAAGCACUGAAUAUUCCCAACCAGAAGAGUUUGAGAUACAGGGACACCUUUACUGGGGGGUUGGGGUGGGCGUGGGGGCUGUAUCCUUUCCUCUGCCCCAGGUCCCCACAUUGGCACCCCAGGCUAUGGGAGACCCCACUUCACCACACUCUACUCAGUCCCUUUUCCUGUGGGCGAGGCCUUUCCCUCUGUUCCUGUCACUACCCUGGCUCUCCCAUGCAUUCAGACUGAGGCACCAGCACUCCCUGGGGAUGAUGUGAACUAAGGCAAGGAAGGGAGGUAGACAAGAGAACCCGGAGCUUUGGGGUUAAAUUCUUUUAUUGAGGAGGGAUUAAAAGCACAACAGGGGUGGGCAUGGGAUAAGAAGUCCAGUGAUGCUGUUGAUCAGGAGCUCGUCCAUCACUCAUCA